Molecule: transfer RNA, 75 nt
Filed under: Desulfotomaculum sp.
Lineage: Bacteria; Bacillati; Bacillota; Clostridia; Eubacteriales; Desulfotomaculaceae
Description: tRNA-Val
Rfam family: tRNA
About the family: Transfer RNA (tRNA) molecules are approximately 80 nucleotides in length.
Source: RNAcentral
GGGGGCAUAGCUCAGCGGGAGAGCGCCUGCCUUACAAGCAGGAUGUCACUGGUUCAAAUCCAGUUGUCCCCACCA